Molecule: ribosomal RNA, 961 nt
Filed under: uncultured organism
Description: bacterial SSU rRNA
Rfam family: Bacterial small subunit ribosomal RNA
Source: RNAcentral
UGACGGUACCCUACUAGAAAGGAGCCGCUAACUUCGUGCCAGAAGCGUCGGUAAUACGGGGGCUCCAAGCGUUAUCCGGUGUUAUUGGGCGUAAAGAGUCGUGUAGGUGGUUGGGUAAGUUAUCUUUCAAAUAUCUUUGCUUAACAAAGAGGAGGGGGAUAAUACUGCUCGACUAGAAUUUUCUCAAGGGAGAUCGGAACUGAGGGAGGAGUAGUGAAAUGCGUUGAUACCCUCGGGAACACCAGUGGCGUAGGCGGAUCUCUGGGAGAAGAUUGACACUGAGACACGAAAGCUAGGGGAGCGAAGCAGAUUAGAGACCUGCGUAGUCCUAGCCGUAAACGCAUGCUUGCUAGCUGCAUGAAUCUACCUUCGGGUGGUAUCGUGUGGCGAAGGUAACCCGUUAAGCAAGCCGCCUGGAAAGUACGGCCGCAAGGCUGAAAUUCAAAGGAAUUGGCGGGGAGGCACACAACCAGUGGAACAUGUGGUUUAAUUCGAGACUAACCGAAGAACCUCACCAGGGUUUGACAUGUAGCUGCACGUCUUAAGAAAUUAAGACUCUCUUGAAGGUGCUACACAGGUGCUGCAUGGCUGUCGUCAGCUCGUUCCGUGAGGAGUGCCCUUAAGUGGGACAACGAGCGCAACCCCUAUUACAUGUUAGAAAUGUCAUGUAAGACUGCCUUGCCAUUUGGCGGGGAGGAAGGAGGGGCAGACGUCAAGUCCGCAUGGUCCUUAUGCCCUGGGCUACACACAUGUUACAAUGAGUACGGCAAUGAGUCUGUCGCGAGCACGUAAGUGUAAGCUAAUCUCUUAAAUGUACUCUCAGUGGGGAUUGAGGUCUGCAACUCGACCUCAUGAACACGGAAUUGGUAGUAAUCGCGGGUCAGCUAUACCGCNGGUGAUACGUUCUUGCCUCUUGCACACACCGCCCGUCAAACCAGCAAAGUCGAUUGUAUCCGAACCU